Molecule: ribosomal RNA, 384 nt
Filed under: uncultured bacterium
Lineage: Bacteria
Description: bacterial SSU rRNA
Rfam family: Bacterial small subunit ribosomal RNA
Source: RNAcentral
AUUGAGCGCUGGCGGCAUGCCUUACACAUGCAAGUCGAACGGUAACAGGGAGCUUGCUCCGCUGACGAGUGGCGAACGGGUGAGUAAUAUAUCGGAACGUACCUAGUAAUGGGGGAUAACUAGUCGAAAGAUUAGCUAAUACCGCAUACGCCCUAAGGGGGAGGAGAGGGGGAGUCGCAAGACCUCUUGUUAUUAGAGCGGCCGAUAUCUGAUUAGCUAGUUGGUGAGGUAAAGGCUCACCAAGGCUUCGAUCAGUAGCUGGUCUGAGAGGACGACCAGCCACACUGGAACUGAGACACGGUCCAGACUCCUACGGGAGGCAGCAGUGGGGAAUUUUGGACAAUGGGCGCAAGCCUGAUCCAGCAAUGCCGCGUGAGUGAAGAA